CCUUAAAACCAUUGGAUUAACCUGAAAUAACAGACAAAAGUGUCAAAGAAUGAAAGAAAGAAGCUGUCAUUUCAAAUAGAUAUUUCAUUAAGCAAACAGAAAAUGCAGUAACGAAGAAGAAGGACAAACUCACAAACAUAGUAAGUGGUAAUUUCAUAUACACAUAGGAAACACACUUAACACAAAGUGUAAGAACAUUGUUUCAUAUUUCUAGCUAGAAUAACAACAAGUAGAAUAGAGUCAAAAGAAGAGCUAAUGAACAGAGUAAAAGUUGGUUUCUUUAAAUUUUUAUAUUUUUCUUGAUUUGCUUUUUGGUUUAGUUGAUGGGGAAUAAGAAACAUAGAAUAAUUGUAAUAUGUCGAUAAAAGUGAAAAAGCAAACAAACAAAAAGACCGGAAACUGCUGUAGAGGUUGUCCUUUUUUGAAUUGGAGGUAGCAACUAUAUAUGACAUUUGCCUUUCCUAAAAG
RNAcentral lists this long non-coding RNA (468 nucleotides) under Nicotiana benthamiana. RNAcentral describes it as "long non-coding RNA (NBEN_LNC003048)". The record is from RNAcentral. Lineage: Eukaryota; Viridiplantae; Streptophyta; Magnoliopsida; Solanales; Solanaceae.